Molecule: ribosomal RNA, 484 nt
Filed under: uncultured bacterium
Lineage: Bacteria
Description: partial 16S ribosomal RNA
Rfam family: Bacterial small subunit ribosomal RNA
Source: RNAcentral
AUUGAACGCUGGCGGCAUGCUUUACACAUGCAAGUCGAACGGCAGCGCGGGCUUCGGCCUGGCGGCGAGUGGCGAACGGGUGAGUAAUACAUCGGAACGUGCCCAGUAGUGGGGGAUAGCUCGGCGAAAGCCGGAUUAAUACCGCAUACGACCUGAGGGUGAAAGCGGGGGAUCUUCGGACCUCGCGCUAUUGGAGCGGCCGAUGGCAGAUUAGCUAGUUGGUGGGGUAAAGGCCUACCAAGGCGACGAUCCGUAGCUGGUCUGAGAGGACGACCAGCCACACUGGGACUGAGACACGGCCCAGACUCCUACGGGAGGCAGCAGUGGGGAAUUUUGGACAAGGGGCGAAAGCCUGAUCCAGCAAUGCCGCGUGUGUGAUGAAGGCCUUCGGGUUGUAAAGCACUUUUGGCGGGAACGAAAAGGACUGUGCCAAUACCACGGUUCGAUGACGGUACCCGCAGAAUAAGCACCGGCUAACUACGUG